ACAUUUUGGUAUCCUUCAAACCACACUGCGUCUGGCUGCCCACUCUGUUUGCUAAUGAGGCUGAGUGUGGACGCUGGCAAACAGAAUUAGCUCGUCCCUGGCGAGUGAAAUGGCAUUAGACCUCAUCACCAUCGUGCACACAAUGGCCAAACAUCCAAAAGCUACUGGAGCUCGGAAGCCUGGGAUGCCGUUAUUGGAUGAUGCAUCAUAACAGCGAUCCCGAAUGAAAGCGACUUUCACUGAUUAUUUUCAAGGCUUUAAAGGGACACAAGAAGAGGAAAUGUCUUCACCGGUUCAGAGCAGCAGUUGGUCAGCACGCUCAUUUGUUUGGCCUAAAGCUUUUAAACACUCCCGACUUCUGUUUGCUGUCUACAAUGCACUUCCUGACUGCAGAAGUUCUUUGUUUCCUACCAUUCAGUUCAGUAAGGACAGAGUUACUAAGCAGCAUUUAAGUCUUACUUCAUUGCACGAAUAUGUUCCCCUCCUUUGCUAUGGGUCUGUUUAUUAAACAAAUAUUAAAUGAAUGAAAUAAA
This is a non-coding RNA of Monodelphis domestica (gray short-tailed opossum), 533 nucleotides long. The record is from RefSeq and is a predicted model, not a curated record. Lineage: Eukaryota; Metazoa; Chordata; Mammalia; Didelphimorphia; Didelphidae.